UGCAAGUCGAACGAUGAAGCCCAGCUUGCUGGGUGGAUUAGUGGCGAACGGGUGAGUAACACGUGAGUAACCUGCCCUUAACUCUGGGAUAAGCCUGGGAAACUGGGUCUAAUACCGGAUAGGAGCGUCCACCGCAUGGUGGGUGUUGGAAAGAUUUAUCGGUUUUGGAUGGACUCGCGGCCUAUCAGCUUGUUGGUGAGGUAAUGGCUCACCAAGGCGACGACGGGUAGCCGGCCUGAGAGGGUGACCGGCCACACUGGGACUGAGACACGGCCCAGACUCCUACGGGAGGCAGCAGUGGGGAAUAUUGCACAAUGGGCGCAAGCCUGAUGCAGCGACGCCGCGUGAGGGAUGACGGCCUUCGGGUUGUAAACCUCUUUCAGUAGGGAAGAAGCGAAAGUGACGGUACCUGCAGAAGAAGCACCGGCUAACUACGUGCCAGCAGCCGCGGUAAUACGUAGGGUGCGAGCGUUAUCCGGAAUUAUUGGGCGUAAAGAGCUCGUAGGCGGUUUGUCGCGUCUGUCGUGAAAGUCCGGGGCUUAACCCCGGAUCUGCGGUGGGUACGGGCAGACUAGAGUGCAGUAGGGGAGACUGGAAUUCCUGGUGUAGCGGUGGAAUGCGCAGAUAUCAGGAGGAACACCGAUGGCGAAGGCAGGUCUCUGGGCUGUAACUGACGCUGAGGAGCGAAAGCAUGGGGAGCGAACAGGAUUAGAUACCCUGGUAGUCCAUGCCGUAAACGUUGGGCACUAGGUGUGGGGACCAUUCCACGGUUUCCGCGCCGCAGCUAACGCAUUAAGUGCCCCGCCUGGGGAGUACGGCCGCAAGGCUAAAACUCAAAGGAAUUGACGGGGGCCCGCACAAGCGGCGGAGCAUGCGGAUUAAUUCGAUGCAACGCGAAGAACCUUACCAAGGCUUGACAUGUUCUCGAUCGCCGUAGAGAUACGGUUUCCCCUUUGGGGCGGGUUCACAGGUGGUGCAUGGUUGUCGUCAGCUCGUGUCGUGAGAUGUUGGGUUAAGUCCCGCAACGAGCGCAACCCUCGUUCCAUGUUGCCAGCACGUAGUGGUGGGGACUCAUGGGAGACUGCCGGGGUCAACUCGGAGGAAGGUGAGGACGACGUCAAAUCAUCAUGCCCCUUAUGUCUUGGGCUUCACGCAUGCUACAAUGGCCGGUACAAUGGGUUGCGAUACUGUGAGGUGGAGCUAAUCCCAAAAAGCCGGUCUCAGUUCGGAUUGGGGUCUGCAACUCGACCCCAUGAAGUCGGAGUCGCUAG
RNAcentral lists this ribosomal RNA (1271 nucleotides) under Micrococcus sp. Its description in RNAcentral is "bacterial SSU rRNA". It matches the Rfam family "Bacterial small subunit ribosomal RNA", at positions 56 to 1338 of the family's 1533-position model. The record is from RNAcentral. Lineage: Bacteria; Bacillati; Actinomycetota; Actinomycetes; Micrococcales; Micrococcaceae.